Molecule: non-coding RNA, 3008 nt
Organism: Megalopta genalis
Lineage: Eukaryota; Metazoa; Arthropoda; Insecta; Hymenoptera; Halictidae
Source: RefSeq, a predicted model, not a curated record
UUGCUCGCGUGGAAGCGUGCCGGUCCGAUCGGUUCCGAAACUUUCGAUACGAGACGAUCGGCUUUAUAAAUAUUCCAAUUCAAAAUUUCUCUUUCGUUAGAGUCAUGUAUUUAUUCUGCGACGGCAACCUAUCGGCGUCGCGCCGCGUUGCGUCGCUCCGGCAGGUGAAACUCGUCGGGGUGGCGAAUCGCGUUUCGUCACGUCUCGUUCUUGGAAACAGGGGUACAAGGUUCGCGUUCGAGGCGAUUCAGAAGUAUCUCCUCGUUUCCAAAAACAGAUCGAAAUUCGUCGAGACAUAGGUUCAAGGUCUGCCUUUGCUCAUCGACCAUCGGAUCUUUCGUCAUAAAUGCUUCCACCUUUGAGCAGGCUUGCUGUCCGCAGCUGUCCGCGUGGGCCGGCAUUUAUAAACCGUUCCAAGAAGAUAACGCUGCAAAGACCGCCAGAGACGAAUAAAAGACGGAUGCGAAAAAGAAUUCGAUAGGGUCAUUAGGUCUCAAGUGCGCGGUUUCCUCUUUCGCUUCCGAUACUAUGCGCCGGUUUUAACGCAUAGCAAUACGCGCAUUUCAAUUAAACCUUUCAUGCAUAAAACUAUCUCGGCCGACCGACAAGUUUUCCUUGGAGCUGACGUUAUAUUCUUUAUGUUCGUCGGCUAAAAAAUGCCAGGCUCGCAGAGGAUGGACUAUCCUCAGGAGGGACACCACGGGGGCCUCGAAGAGUAUGCUGAUGACCAACGCUACGAUGUAGGAAGCUAUCGUGAACCCGAGGAACAGUAUUCCCUGAAAAAUAUGGUCCAAUUGACAGAAAAUCGCCGUGGAAAAUGAUCGUCGUCGAACAACGGAUCUUUAUACAUGUGCAUAAGGGUCUAGAAUCUAUGAACAUCUUUCGACUUUUCCGACCUGAUUGUUCCGAGACCAGUAAAAGAAAGGGAACCGACCGAAGCAUGAUGUUAUUUAGUCGAAAUUUGGACGGCUCGAGGCAAGCAGCACUUUCACCUGAGGAAAACAGUGAAAGGGGGAAGAAAUGAAAAGUGAAGACAGGUGGAGGGGGAUUAAUAAGAACGUCGGAGAGGGAAGGAGAGAAGAGAACCGGAGUGGAAAGCCGCAGGAAAGGCGAACGAGUCGGGAUCUAGCGGAGGCUUCGGAAGUCGGACUGAUUCGUUUGAUCGAUUUGCUAACAUAAUUUCAGGUGCACAGACGAAUGCUGGAAAGUAUAAUUGCUUGAGAAAACAAUCGAAAGAUUAGAUCGACGACGUGUGACGUUACGGAGUACCAUCAAUCCAAGCGUCAAGUGCAUCGAACUUUCUCCUUUCAAAACUACCGCUCGUAUGAUCACGGGAUGAACCAGAUACACGCAGUAACUCAGCCUGGAUAAUGGGUAUAGAUACUUCCAGGAUAGUAUGUUGUUCACGAUGCCUGAACAGAAAAGAAACGAUAAUUAUCCACGUAGGAAUUGGAUCGUUGGAAUUGUUUCAAAAUUUAAACCUAUGCUGUCCAUGAGCGACAGCCAGUUUCCUGGAAGAUGAACCUGGAAGCGCGAUUAACGAAUCACAAGGAAGCACGGACAGCAUGGUUUGAUGUCACGUCUACGAUACUGACCACCAUGACCGGCAACGCAUGCUACGAGGACCCAGCCGACUGCGACCGCCCAUCCUGAAUGCGACAACGCGGUGUAAGCCGCGAACAUGAAUGGACCGUGGGUACUUCCGUAGAGGCCGUACACUAUACUCAGCAUGACAAAGAAGGAAACGAUCCAGCAAAUGAAUGAGACCGUCUGCAAUUAGAAGCAACAGCGUGGGUAUCAGUCCGCGAGCGUUGGGACGGAUCGCAGUAAUCGACGAUCAUUACGGAGAAAGUAGAUUACGAUGCUUCUUACUGCACUGCGAUCUGAUCAGCGAUAACCAGUUACGUGAAAUCGCGGGUGCGCGGAGAACUAUAAUGACUCCGAUCGUUCCCCAAACAACGCUCAAGAAGUAGGAAAUCGCGACGCGGUUUCGAGCACCGAGUAAAAACGCGAUCAUCUAGCCGUAAUUAGCGACCAGCUCUCUAUGAAAGUUAUACGAAGUUCACCUUAGGCAACUUGAGACUGCAAUUCGACUUGUAAAGGUACCAGCCGGCCAUCAUCCCCAAAAGAUACGGUCCGAUCCUCGACCACGGCUUAUCGUACAGGCUCUCGUAGUGAGCGAACGGAUCCAGGAUGCUGUUGUAGUCGGUUUACGAAACGUUUCAAUUAACGCUGGAACUCUAAUUAGCCGAUUUUUCGGAGAUUGUACGUACCCGUUCAUCCAUGGCGAAGUACGUGUUCACGUAGAGAGCGUUCCUCCACCAGUAUCGUUUGCAGUUCUGGUAAUCGAGCGUGUACAGAUCGAGCAUCGUGUGGUGGUAGUACCAGGAAGACGACACCUGGAUCAAACCGAUCACGAGAAGUCAGGCAAGUGUGGACCAAGAUGAUCCACAGCAUAGAAAUCAGCCGCAGUCCGUGAAUAGGAGCCAGCGUGUCGUCGCCAACAUCCAGGCCGCAGAGUUUCGAUAGAUUCAAGAGAAGACUGAAAGAUAACAGCGCCUCCGACAGCGGUUUCGGAGCGCUUCUCGUGUUCCUCACGUCUGGAAUAAGAAAACCAGGGUAGCCCGAUGCGAAAGAAUCCGAGCAAGGUAACGUAGAUAUACCUAUAGCACCAUUGUGCUCCUUCACCGACCACAGCUUCGCGAUCGUGAUCUCAUCGUCGCUGUUUUGGUCGGUGUGCAUGAUUUUCAUUUCCGCUGCCGUGUUCGCGAUAUCCCGAACAUUUCGCCGCGAACGUAAUACCCGAUAUCUCAGGGAAACGUCGUAGAAAGUGCCCAGACAGGCGAAUACAAUGGCCACGGCAAAAACAAACCUGCAAGCCAUUGGAUCGGUCAAGACAAUCGGCGAACUAGUUCCUAGUAUAGCUGUAAAUGCUGGGUAGCAAGUUGUAAUGCGAAUAUUUGUUGAGUUAGAUGCGUAGCUAUGCCGGGUGGAAAAUCAGUUUGCCU